GAGUUUGAUCCUGGCUCAGAUUGAACGCUGGCGGCAGGCCUAACACAUGCAAGUCGAACGGUAACAGGAUGUGCUUGCACAUCGCUGACGAGUGGCGGACGGGUGAGUAAUGCUUGGGAACUUGCCUUUGCGAGGGGGAUAACAGUUGGAAACGACUGCUAAUACCGCAUAAUGUCUUCGGACCAAACGGGGCUUCGGCUCCGGCGCAAAGAGAGGCCCAAGUGAGAUUAGCUAGUUGGUAAGGUAACGGCUUACCAAGGCGACGAUCUCUAGCUGUUCUGAGAGGAAGAUCAGCCACACUGGGACUGAGACACGGCCCAGACUCCUACGGGAGGCAGCAGUGGGGAAUAUUGCACAAUGGGGGAAACCCUGAUGCAGCCAUGCCGCGUGUGUGAAGAAGGCCUUCGGGUUGUAAAGCACUUUCAGUUGUGAGGAAAAGUUAGUAGUUAAUACCUGCUAGCCGUGACGUUAACAACAGAAGAAGCACCGGCUAACUCCGUGCCAGCAGCCGCGGUAAUACGGAGGGUGCGAGCGUUAAUCGGAAUUACUGGGCGUAAAGCGCACGCAGGCGGUUUGUUAAGCUAGAUGUGAAAGCCCCGGGCUCAACCUGGGAUGGUCAUUUAGAACUGGCAGACUAGGGUCUUGGAGAGGGGAGUGGAAUUCCAGGUGUAGCGGUGAAAUGCGUAGAUAUCUGGAGGAACAUCAGUGGCGAAGGCGACUCCCUGGCCAAAGACUGACGCUCAUGUGCGAAAGUGUGGGUAGCGAACAGGAUUAGAUACCCUGGUAGUCCACACCGUAAACGCUGUCUACUAGCUGUGUGUGCCUUUAAGGCGUGCGUAGCGAAGCUAACGCGCUAAGUAGACCGCCUGGGGAGUACGGCCGCAAGGUUAAAACUCAAAUGAAUUGACGGGGGCCCGCACAAGCGGUGGAGCAUGUGGUUUAAUUCGAUGCAACGCGAAGAACCUUACCUACACUUGACAUGCAGAGAACUUUCUAGAGAUAGAUUGGUGCCUUCGGGAACUCUGACACAGGUGCUGCAUGGCUGUCGUCAGCUCGUGUCGUGAGAUGUUGGGUUAAGUCCCGCAACGAGCGCAAC
Molecule: ribosomal RNA, 1096 nt
Filed under: uncultured Gammaproteobacteria bacterium
Lineage: Bacteria; Pseudomonadati; Pseudomonadota; Gammaproteobacteria
Description: bacterial SSU rRNA
Rfam family: Bacterial small subunit ribosomal RNA
Source: RNAcentral